ACACUCCUGCGGGAGGCAGCAGUGGGGAAUAUUGGACAAUGGGCGCAAGCCUGAUCCAGCCAUGCCGCGUGAGUGAUGAAGGCCCUAGGGUUGUAAAGCUCUUUCACCGGUGAAGAUAAUGACGGUAACCGGAGAAGAAGCCCCGGCUAACUUCGUGCCAGCAGCCGCGGUAAUACGAAGGGGGCUAGCGUUGUUCGGAUUUACUGGGCGUAAAGCGCACGUAGGCGGACUAUUAAGUCAGGGGUGAAAUCCCGGGGCUCAACCCCGGAACUGCCUUUGAUACUGGUAGUCUUGAGUUCGAGAGAGGUGAGUGGAAUUCCGAGUGUAGAGGUGAAAUUCGUAGAUAUUCGGAGGAACACCAGUGGCGAAGGCGGCUCACUGGCUCGAUACUGACGCUGAGGUGCGAAAGCGUGGGGAGCAAACAGGAUUAGAAACCUCAGUAGUCCCAUGAU
RNAcentral lists this ribosomal RNA (452 nucleotides) under uncultured organism. Its description in RNAcentral is "partial 16S ribosomal RNA". It matches the Rfam family "Bacterial small subunit ribosomal RNA", at positions 333 to 801 of the family's 1533-position model. The record is from RNAcentral.